This 345-nucleotide unclassified non-coding RNA is filed under the name soil metagenome. RNAcentral's name for it is "partial contains 5.8S ribosomal RNA, internal transcribed spacer 2, and large subunit ribosomal RNA". The stretch from base 1 to 120 matches the Rfam family "5.8S ribosomal RNA", at positions 35 to 154 of the family's 154-position model. The record is from RNAcentral.
GAUGAAGAAAGUAGCGAAAUGCGAUACGUAAUGUGAAUUGCAGAAUUCAGUGAAUCAUCGAGUCUUUGAACGCACAUUGCGCCCCCUGGUAUUCCGGGGGGCAUGCCUGUCCGAGCGUCAUUGCUGCCCUCAAGCACGGCUUGUGUGUUGGGCCUCCGUCCUCCUCCCGGGGGACGGGCCCGAAAGGCAGCGGCGGCACCGCGUCCGGUCCUCGAGCGUAUGGGGCUUCGUCACCCGCUCUUGUAGGCCCGGCCGGCGCUUGCCGACACAUCAAUCUUUUUUCCAGGUUGACCUCGGAUCAGGUAGGGAUACCCGCUGAACUUAAGCAUAUCAAUAAGCGGAGGA